This 315-nucleotide ribosomal RNA is filed under the name uncultured eukaryote. Its description in RNAcentral is "partial 18S ribosomal RNA". It matches the Rfam family "Eukaryotic small subunit ribosomal RNA", at positions 1470 to 1796 of the family's 1831-position model. The record is from RNAcentral.
CCCUUAGACGUUCUGGGCCGCACGCGCGCUACACUGACCGGUGCAACAAGCAUCCGUCCUUGGCCGACAGGCCCGGGCAAUCUUUGAACGCCGGUCGUGAUGGGGAUAGACUUUUGCAAUUUUUGGUCUUCAACGAGGAAUUCCUAGUAAACGCAAGUCAUCGACUUGCAUUGAUUACGUCCCUGCCCUUUGUACACACCGCCCGUCGCACCUACCGAUUGAAUGGUCCGGUGAAGCCUCCGGAUUGGCGCGCACCUCGGUGCCGCCGAGAAGUUGGCUAAACCUUACCAUUUAGAGGAAGGUGAAGUCGUAACA